GAUGAACGCUGGCGGCGUGCCUAAUACAUGCAAGUCGAGCGCACGGACGAGAAACUUGCUUUUCUGAUGUUAGCGGCGGACGGGUGAGUAACACGUGGAUAACCUACCUAUAAGACUGGGAUAACUUCGGGAAACCGGAGCUAAUACCGGCUAAUACUGUGAACCGCAUUGUUCAAAAGUGAAAGACGGUCUUGCUGUCACUUAUAGAUGGAUCCGCGCUGCAUUAGCUAGUUGGUAAGGUAACGGCUUACCAAGGCAACGAUGCAUAGCCGACCUGAGAGGGUGAUCGGCCACGCAAGAACUGAGACACGGUCCAAACUCCUACGGAGGGCAGCAGAAGGGAAUAUUGCGCAAUGGGCGAAGGCCUGACGGGGCAAGGCCGGGUGAGUGAUGCAGGUCUUCGGAUCGUAAAACUCUUUUAUUGGGGAAGAACAUGUUUGUAAGUAACUGUGCACAUCUUGACGGUACCUAAUCAGAAAGCCACGGCUAACUACGUG
RNAcentral lists this ribosomal RNA (497 nucleotides) under uncultured bacterium. RNAcentral describes it as "partial 16S ribosomal RNA". It matches the Rfam family "Bacterial small subunit ribosomal RNA", at positions 28 to 507 of the family's 1533-position model. The record is from RNAcentral.